This 497-nucleotide ribosomal RNA is filed under the name uncultured bacterium. RNAcentral's name for it is "partial 16S ribosomal RNA". It matches the Rfam family "Bacterial small subunit ribosomal RNA", at positions 28 to 507 of the family's 1533-position model. The record is from RNAcentral.
GAUGAACGCUGGCGGCGUGCCUAAUACAUGCAAGUCGAGCGAACAGACGAGGAGCUUGCUCCUCUGACGUUAGCGGCGGACGGGUGAGUAACACGUGGAUAACCUACCUAUAAGACUGGGAUAACUUCGGGAAACCGGAGCUAAUACCGGAUAAGAUAUUGAACCGCAUGGUUCAAUAGUGAAAGACGGUUUUGCUGUCACUUGUAGAUGGAUCCUCGCCGCAUUAGCUAGUUGGUAAGGUAACGGCUUACCAAGGCAACGAAUCGUAGCCGACCUGAGAGGGUGAUCGGCCCCACUGGAACUGGGACACGGUCCAGACUCCUACGGGAGGAAGCAGUAGGGAAUCUUCCGAAAUGGGCGAAAGCUUGACGGAGCAACGCCGCGUGAGUGAUGAAGGUCUUCGGAUCGUAAAACUCUGUUAUUAGGGAAGAACAAAUGUGUAAGUAACUAUGCACGUCUUGACGGUACCUAAUCAGAAAGCCACGGCUAACUACGUG